CUGCGGGGUCACCUGAGGGGCGUGGCCUCCCACCCCGUGGCCAAUCACGGCCUGCAGCGCCUCCUGGACCACGCCCCCGAGGACGUGGUGGAGGAGGUGCUGUCGGAGCUGGGCCCCGCCCUGGAGGAGCCGCUGGCCCGGGGCCACCCCGGGGUGGUGCUGGCCCUGCUGGGGGCGGCCCUGAGGCACCCCCGGCUCCAGGGGGAGGUGCUGCGCUGGCUCUUCCAGGCCUUGCGCUGCUGGGCCCCGCCCCACCACCCCCAUUGCGUCGCCGCCCUGGCCAAGCUCCGCCCCCUGGAGGGCGGGGCCAGCACCGAGGGGGCGGAGCUUCAGGUAAGGGGCGGGGCUUUUUCAGGGGU
RNAcentral lists this long non-coding RNA (359 nucleotides) under Lonchura striata (white-rumped munia). RNAcentral's name for it is "domestica (Bengalese finch) lncRNA (ENSLSDG00000002890.1)". Lineage: Eukaryota; Metazoa; Chordata; Aves; Passeriformes; Estrildidae. The record is from RNAcentral.